UGGAAAAAGCCUAUCCACGUCAACUCUAUCUAUCCCCCUCAUAAUUUUAAAUACCUCUAUCAAGUCCUUCCUCAACCUUCUAUGCUCCAAAGAAUAAAGAACUAACUUGUUCAACCUUCCUCUGUAACUUAGGUGUUGAAACCCAAGUAACAUGCUAGUAAAUCUUCUCUGUACACUCUCUAUUUUGUUGACAUCUUUCCUAUAAUUCAGUGACCAGAACUGUACACAACACUCCAAAUUCGGCCUUACCAAUGUCUUGUGUAAUUUUAACAUUACAUCCCAACUCCUAUACUCAAUGCUCUGAUUUAUAAAGGCCAGCAUACCAAAAGCUUUCUUCACCACCCUAUCCACAUGAGAUUCCACCUUCAGGGAACUAUGCACCAUUAUUCCUGCAUUCUUCAAUGCCCUACCAUUUACCAUGUAUGUCCUAUUUGGAUUAUUCCUACCAAAAUGUAGCACCUCACACUUAUCAGCAUUAAAUGCCAUCUGCCAUCUUUCAGCCCACUCUUCUAACUAGCCUAAAUCUCUCUGCAAGCUUUGAAAACCUACUUUAUCAUUUACAACGCCACCUAUCUUAGUAUCAUCUGCAUACUUACUAAUCCGAUUUACCAGCCCAUCAUCCAGUUCAUUAAUGUAUAUAACAAACAAUAUUGGACCCAAUACAGAUCCCUGAGGCACACCACUAGUCACCGGCCUCCAACCUGACAAACAAUUAUCCAUCAGUACUCUCUGGCAUCUCCCAUCCAGCCAUUGUUGAAUCUAUUUUACUACUUCAAUGUUAAUACCUAACGAUUGAACUUUCCUAACUAACCUUCCGUGUGGAACCUUGUCAAAGGCCUUACUGAAGUCCAUAUAGACAACAUCCACUACAUUACCCUCGUCAACUUUCCUGGUAACCUCUUCAAAAAAUUCAAUAAGAUUUGUCAAACAUGACCUUCCAUGCACAAAUCCAUGUUGACUAUUCCUAAUCAGACCCUGUCUAUCCAGAUAAUUAUAUAUACCAUCUCUAAGAAUACUUUCCACUAAUUUACCCACCACUAACGUCAAACUUACAGGCCUAUAAUUGUUAGGUUUACUCUUAGAACCAUUUUAAACAUGGAACAACAUGAGUAAUAUGCCAAUCCUCCGGCACCAUCCCCGUUUCUAAUGAAGAUGGUAGAAGUUGCAGAGAAUGAUGUGCUGAACAUGGAGGCUCAUGGGGCUUGUUGUCAUUCUUCAGAAAUCCAAUUGCCAGGAGUACAGCCAUUUCCUCUUCACCACCACCCUCCUCUGCCUGGCGAAAUUGGUCCGCAGCUCAACAAUUUCUCUUUCAGUGCUCCUGCUUUCUCCAAACUCAAGGUGUAGCCUUGUGUGCCUGCAUGGACCUCAACUAUGCCUGCCUUUUCAUUGGCUAUGUGAAGCAGUCCAUGUUCCAAGCCUUCCCUGGUAACGCUCCCAAUGCUUUCUGUGGUAUAAUGACAACUGCACUGGUGCUGCUUCAUGCACCCAUGCUGAGCUUCGCAAUUUCAUCAACUUUUCCUCCAACUUCCAUCCUGCUCUUAAAUUCACUUGGCCCAUUUCUGACACCUCGCUUCCCUUUGUAGAUCUUUCUAUCUCAAAUUGUCAACUAGUAUCUUUUACAAACCUACCCACUCCCACUCAGUCUUGACUAUACCUCUUCCCACCCUGUCUCCUGUAAAAAUACUAUUCCCUUUUCUCAUUUCCUUCAUCUCUGCCACUUCUGUUCCCAGGACAUGGUUUUCCAUUUCAGGACAUCAGAGAUCUUCUCCUUCUUUAAAGAAUAGUGUUUCCCUUCCUCCACCAUUGAUGCUGUCCUCAUCUGCAUCUCCUCCAUUUCCCGGACAUCCACACUCACCCCAUCUUCCUGCUGCUUUAACAUGGAUAGAGCUCCUCUUGUCCUUUCCCAACACCCCAUGAGCCGCUACAUCCAGCCUAUCAUCCUCUGGAACUUCUGCCAUCUUCAAUGAGACCCUACCACCAACCACAUCUUUACCUCCCUGCCCACUCUCCACUUUCCACAGGGAUCGCUUAUUCCAUGAUUCCCUUGUUGAUUCAUCCCUUCCCACUAAUCUCGCCCAUGGCACAUCCCUGCAAGCAGAGGAAGUGCUAAUCCUCCCCAUUUACCUCCUCCUUCACCUCCUUUUCAGGUCUCCAAACUGUCCUUCUCGGUGAAGCAAUGCUUCAUGUGGGGUGGUCUACUGUAUCUGGUGCUCCCAAUGUGGCCUCCUUUACAUUGCUGAGACCCAAAGUAGAUUGAGGGGCGGCUUUCUUUGAGCACCUUCACUCCACCCGUAACAAGAUGGAUUUCCCACAAGCCAAAAAUUUUAAUUCCAGUCCAUUCCAACAUGUUGGUCCCUUCUGCAAUGAUGAAGCCACUAUCAGAUUGGAGGAGCAACACCUCAUAUUCUGUUUGGGUAGUUUCUAAACUGAUGGCAUGAACAUCAAUUUCUCCACCUUCCAGUAAUAUUAACCCCUCCCCCUUCCUGCAUCUUCAGUUCCCCACUAUUUGCUCCCCUUAACUUUUCUCUUUUCCUCAUCUGCCUAUCAUUUCCCCCAGUGUCUUUCCUCCUUCUCUUUCUCCCAUGGUCCACUCUCCUCUCCUCUCCAGAUUUCUGCUUCUCCAGCCCUUUACCUUAUCACCUCCCAGCUUCUAACUUCAUCCUCCUCCCCCAUUCACCUGGCUUCACCUUUCAUCUUCUCACUUGUACUUCUUCCUUUCCCCCAUCCUCUCAUUCUGACCUCCUCCCCCUUCCUUUUUGAGUCCUGAUGAAGGGUCUCGGCCUGAAAUGUCGACAGUUUAUCCAUUUCCAUAGAUGCUGCCUGACCUGCUGAGUUCUUCCAGCAUUUUGUGUGUUGUUGCAUGUAAUGUGAAAUGUCUUGACAUAUUUUUUGAGACAUGUGUACUAGUUUUUCCACUUAGUUUCAAUGCAUUGGAGAAGCAUAGAACGUUAUUCCCUCUCUGCAUUCCUACAAUUUACUGUUUUAUUCCCUGGGUGACAAUACCACAGCUGGAGUACCAAUCCUAAGGAACUGAGAGCAACAUGCACAAAAUACUGGAGAAACUCAGCAGAUCAAGCAGCAUCUAUGGAAGAGUCUUUCAUCAAGACCUUCCAUCAAGAUCUCGGACUGAAACACCAACUAUUAAUUCCUUCCCGCAGAUACUGCUGAGUUCCUCUAGCAUUCCAUACUUGUUGCUCUAGAUUUCUAGCAUCUGUAGAAUCUCUUCUGUUUAAUCCCCUGGCUUUAGGUUGAGGCAAAUGCAAUGUUAGCAUUCAUUUCAAGAGUGCUAAGUUAUAAAAGCAAGGAUGUGAUGCUGAGUCUUUAUAAGCCAUUGGUCAGACCCCACUUGGAGGAUUAUGAACAGUUUUGGACCACUUAUCUCAGAAGAGGUGUGCUGGCAUUGGAGAGAGUCCAGAGGAGGUUCACAAGAAUAAUGCCAGGAAUGAAAGGGUUAACAUAUGAAGAGCAUUUUAUGGCUCUGAGCCUAUACUUGAUGGAGUUUAGAAGAAUGAGAGAUCUCAUUGAAACCUACUGAAUAUUGAAAAGCCUAGAUAGAGUGGAUUUGGUGAGGGUGUUUCCUCUUGUUGGGAUGUCUGGGUCCAGAAUACAGAGUCUCUGAAUAGAAGAACAUCCAUUUAGAACAGAGGAAUUUCUUCAGCCAGAGGGGAGUGAAUCUGUAGAACUCAUUGCCAUAGAUGGCUAUGGAGACCAAGUUACUGUGUAUAUUUAAAGCAGAAGCUGAUAGGUUCUUGAUUUGUCAGGAUGUCAAAGGUUACGGGGAAAUGGCAGAAGGAUGUUGAAAGGGAUAAUAAAUCAGCCAUGAUGGAAUGGCAGAGCAGACUCAGUGCCUAAUAUCCUAAUUUUGUUUCUAAGUUUUAUGGUCUUUGGUCUUUAAUAGGAGCAAGAAACUACAGUUGCGGGAAGUCAGUCUGAAGCAAAAGCAAUGUUGGGAAUGCUGAGCAGGGCAGACAGCAGCUGUAGGUCAAGGACUGGGCUAGUGAGAAGCCAAGUGUGUUAUAGAUAGGAAGUAAAGCAGAGAAAACAGAGAAGUUUAUGAAAAUAGGGUGCCCAAAGUUAUCAAUGUACCAAUUACUUUAAAAGUAACAUUUCAAAGUUCAAAGUACAUUUAUUAUCAAAGUAUGUAUACUAUAUACAAUCUUGAGAUUCGUCUCCUUAUAGACAACCACAAAACUAAGAAACCCAAUGGAACCCAUUAAAAAAAGACUGUCAAACACUCAAUUAGCAGGAAAAAAACAAACAUGCAAACAAUAAAACUGAACUUCACAAAAGUGAUUCCACAGCCACAAAGCCAGUCACAGUCGAUCCAGGAGCCUGUUAUUUGCAGACCACAGUGUCAGUUCAGCACAGAGAUGAGUAAACCUUGUGAACAGUGAGCUGAACACCAGCCCUUCCCUUGCCUCCAGCCCCAACUCCCUGACCUUUGUACUCUAGCCCAGAGCUUAAAUGGCUAACAGAGCUCUUUGCUCUUGGACCCCGUCCCUGCCACUUUGAUAUGAUCUUAGGCCUGAGACCUACCACCUCAAUUAAGCCUGUAUCCAGCAUUCCCAAUCCAGCCCAGUGUUUAAAUUGAUCAAACAUCAGCUUGUUCCUCGCUCCCAGGCCUGAGCCAUGCCACCUUGCUUUGGCCCAUUACACACCACCUCACAACCAUCCUGCACCUUCAAGGCUUCAUCUCACACUGCAAAAAUGCCAAAUCGUACAGAUGGCUCAAAAGCUUGAUGCUGAAAGGGAAGUUACAGCCUAUUGAUCGCAGAGUUCAUUUACUAUGAAAAAAGGAAGGAAAAAAUGAAACAAAUUGAAGUAAUAAGAUAUUGCCCCAGCCAUGGAGAAAAGAAAAACUAUUGAACGUUACAAUGUCAAAUAAUUCAGAAGUUACCUGUGGCAGCAUGGUAGCAUAACACGUAAUGCUGUUAAGCAGAUUAAUGAGUUUAUACGUUGUCCCUGUGACCACAUGGGUUUCCUCCAAGUGCUCCAGUUUCCUCCCACUUUCCAAAGACAUACGUACAUGGGUGUAAUUGGAUGGUGUAGGGUCAUUGGGCUAGUUACCAUGAUAUUUCUCUAAAUAAAAAUAAAAUAUUCCCCUUAUUUUAUAUUUGUAACAUACCAUCUGAAAGAGAAGUCUGUUCCUCAGGCUUAAGUUGGAGCAACAGAUGAAGCCAGUGACAGAAAUCAAAGUCAAAGUGGGAAGAAGAAUUUGCAUAACAGGAGACUGGAAACUCAGAAUCCCCUUUGUGGACUGAAUGGAAGUGUUCUACAAAGUAGUUACCUAUUCUGCUUUUGAUUGUUCCCUUGUAGGGAAAACCACAUUGUGAGCACAAAAGGAAUGACUCUGUAGGAGAGCAGGGAAGCUCUUUCAAUGAAAAUGUGAUGAUGGAGUAGAGGGAUUUGCACCUCCAAAAGGACCACAAUCCUGUCAUGGUUUAGAGGCUUGCAUGCCUCAAUGACCCAAAGAGCUAUGCUGGUUGGAGUCGGGACUUUACGCUUUGACUCUUGAUCGGGUCAAACCCAUGCCAAAGAGGUCAAAGGGUAGAGGACAGACUAAAGGCUGAUUUAUACUUGUGCAUACGGGCUGCGUCAUAGCCUAUGCCACAGCCCUGCUUUUCACUUCUGUGUCGCUCUACGCCGUAGCGAGCAUGCGUUGGUGUGCACCAAAACGCUAGUUAGUGGUGGGGUUUCUAUGCCACUGUGUUGAGCUUCUUCAUGAGAGACGUGGAAAGGAAAUGCAUUUCAAACAUUUUUGCAUGCCGGCAGGUAAAUUUGACGAUUUGGUUCCUCUAUUUCGCAUCAGUGUACAGACAUGGCGGAGAAGAAGCAACCAGAAAUGUGUAAGAGGAAAUGCGAUGCUACCAAGCAGGCCAAUCACAGUUGUUGUGGACUGCAUCGCUGCAAUGCGUGAAUUACUUUUUUGGGGACGUGUACGUCACCCUACGGCGUAGGUACGGUGUAGGGUAAGUGGCACCUACGGCGCAGAUGUGACGCACAAGUAUAUAUCAGCCUUAAGAAUGAUCCACCAAUCCUCCAGGUUCGGGGGGGUGGGGAGUUUCAGCUCAGGUCCGACAACCCUAGCUGGUCAAGCAAAACUGUUACGGAAACUGCAAUGAAGGAUCCUUCUGCAUCUGAAUGUGACGGUAUUCCUGAGUCUCCACCUGGGACUUGCAUGACUGACAAUAAACUGAGAGGAAGCUACUGGCAUGAUGAAAGAAGACUUGAAUGUCGUCAGAGACGGAGGACCUUCAAUGCCACCCUAAACUCCAUUGAAAUAAUGGGAAAAAGAAGAAGAAGAGGAACUUGCAGGGAGUGAAGAAAAGGUAGAUGGAAUAGAAAAAUCAAAAUUCUGAAAACGACAAGAAAUGCUGGAGAGAUAAGAGAAGGAACUAAUAUCAAACUAAAUGACAAAUGCCUGUUAUACAUGGCAUCUAAAGUAUAAUAAAAACAUGAUAAGGCAUGCUAUGUUAGAUGCGACGUACUAGGCUGUCCAUUCUGUUUUCAGUAAAAUCACCCAUAACUUUGCAAGCACUGUUUCAUCUUCAGAAAGCAAGGAGAGAGCAGAUGAUGAAUGGUAUAACGAGAUACAUUGGACUCACUCAUGAGGAAAGAUUCCAUUAAACCAUACUCCUAUUGUACACAUCCAGAAUAAAUCAAAGGUGGUAUUGUUUCUUCAGCAUUAACAGACAGAAGGACAAGCAAAAAUUAUUGAUCCUCGACCCAGUUGAACAGCAUUAGUAGAAAAACAAAUGUGACAGGAAAGAGAUUCUCAAAGUCAGUCCUCAACAGUGGCUUUGUGUAAGAAGCUCAGUGAGAAUAGGAUGGAACAGAUUGAUCUGAUACAAUUAGCAGAGCAAAAAGGGACAAUAAAUAUCACUGGCAGACAACAUUAAGGAGAUAGUGAAAUGCCUCAAUAUAUUUAUUAGAGAAUACCAAAAGGUACUCAAGACUAAAAAUGAAUGGUAAUUGGAUAACAGGGAAGCAUUGGGAUGAAAGAGCCAAAGAGUGGAAAAGAGAGAGAUAAAAGGAGACAGGAGUAUAUAGUACUUCUGUGUCAUUAGAAAUAAAUGUAAAAGAGAACAAGGAGAGUAGAUUAAAUGGUGGUGAAGAUCUAUCCUGAACUGCUACCCUUCAAUUGUUGAAGAUAUUACUUUAGUACUUGAGGAGAGUGGGAAUGAGGAGAGAGAAUCAGUGACUGGAAAUAACAGAGGAGGAAGAAAGGAAUGUAGAAGAGAGGGGAAGACAUAGUUUCACGGUGGACAGAGGAAAAGCUUUCCAGCAACAAACAGAAAUGUUGGAUGAAUUUCAUUAGUGAGGCAGCAUCUGGAGAAAGAGAGAAACUAGGUAACAUUUCAAAUCAGCCAAAUGCUGAACGGGUUGCUGCCCCGAAACAUUGAUUUGGUUUCUUUUUCCACAGAUGCUGCUUGGCUGACUGAAUUUUACAGACUUUCUGUCUUUGCUUCUGCUUCCAGCUUCUGCAGUUUUCUUGGCUUGCCGAAGAUUUCCAGAAUUUCGACUGCAAGGAUGCGAGAUCCAAGGCUCCUUGAACAUCAAAAGGUUUUGGCAUUGGUUCUUUUGGAGACCCUGGCCUGGAGUUACACUCUGACUUUGGUUCUUUAUGGGAAUGGAACCCGCUCUCAGGGCCUCACGACCGGCGCUUUUUGAUAUCCCAGGGAUGCGGCCUGGAAGCCUAGCGAGCCUUCGGGGUGCCGGAUUUUCGUGGCUCUGGAGACGGGCUGAUUCAAGGCUGAUACUCCUGACUGAAGCGUCAUGGGAGAACACAGUACAUCGGGAGCAGCGGGUUGGCUGCCAUGGGCUGUGUGUCCAGAGACCUGAGCCCACUGUGCCAGUCUCUUUUUCUAAAGAGCAUAUGCUGCACUGUGUUUUUUUUAAAUCAAACAUCUUGCUGCGCUUCAACAGGCAGGUUAUUAUCUCAGAUUUCCCCAAAUCCAUAUUUUUCCAGUUUCUACCUUGAAGUGAGGUUCGUGUAGGAACUGUUGAAGUUCAUGACAAAUUACAGAUUCCAGUGGACCGACUCACAGAAAACCACACAAGCCCAGCAUGUGAAGGCCCACAAUAUCUCGGAUGGACUACAUCUGGAAUCCUACGUUUGGUUAUAUGUUUCCCAGUGUCCAAAGAUACAUCAAACAGUAAACUGUGUGUUGACGGUCUCAACAAUAAUACAGCUGUAAUCUUCUAAAUUAACUUGAUCAUUUAGAUUACAAUGAUAAGUCACAAAGUUAGUUUUCUUCAUUCUGACAUGAGAACAAAAUCCUGAGGGGUGCUUGAAACCCGGAAUAAAAGCAAAAGAUGCUGGAAACACUCAAUAGAAACAUUUUCUCUCACCACAGGUGCCACAUAACUUGUUAUGUUCUAGGAUUAUCUAUUUUUACUUAGCUCAGAUUUCAUUUUAUAAAGUGAGUUAUAAAUUCUAAAUGAUAAUAAAUAGCAGCAGCCCCAUUGAAAGAUUCAUAUCUGGUUGUAAUCUUGCUUCAUAAUCCAGUGUGUUGGUGCAUGGCCUAGUGGAUAAGGCAUCAGGUCUAGUGAUCUGAAGGUCACUGGUUCGAGCCUCAGCUGAGACAGUGCGUUGUGUCCUUGAGCAAGGCACUUAACAAUACAUUGUUCUGCGAUGACACCGGUGCCAAGCUGCAUGGGUCCUAGUGCCCUUCCCUUGGACAACAUCGGUGGCGUGGAGAGGGGAAGGCUUGCAGCUUGGGCAACUGCCGGUCUCCCAUACUACCCAGGCCUGCACCCUGGAAAAACCUUCCAAGGUGCAAAUCCAUGGUCUCACGAGACUAACGGAGACUAACUAUCAUAAUCCAGAAACAACAUCAGCCCUUUCAGUGUAUCUAAUCAUUAAAGAUACAUUGGUGGCACAGCAAGUAAAUUAUCAGAGACCCAAGGUAAAAUCCCACCAUGGCAGCUGAGGAUUUUAAAUUGAAAACUGGGAAACAAAACUAUUGGUAAGUCAUUGGUAAGGAUGACUGUCAAUGCUAGCAGAUUGCUGUAAAAAUCCAUCUUUCUGGGAAGAAAUGUGCCUUCUUUAUCCGUUCUGGCCUGCAUGUGAACCCAGACUCAUAGCAUGUGUUUGAAUCUUAAAUGCCUUCUGGCUGAGAAAGCAAUUCAGUUGUAUCGAUAUUGCUACAUUUAAACAGAGAAGGACUUAAAUUGACCAGACGCUGGUACUGAAUUCAGACACCUCCAUGACCUUCAGCAUCUUAUGCCCCUUCAUUGUCCGAAUCAAAAUUCUAGAGCUCCUUCUCUAAUACCACUGAAUGCAGCAGUUCAAGGAGGCAACUUGCUAUCACCUUCUCAAAGCCAGCUAGGUAUGGACUCUAUCUAUUUAAAGAAACCAAAAUGCCUUUUGGUUUUUGCACUAUUCUCUAUAAACUCUAUGCACUAAACACUCUGUGCACGAAAACCCCAGGAGGUUAUUUUCUGAGAUAUUCAAACCACCUCAUCCGGCACCAACAAACAUUCCACGGUCAACAUCACUUGGAUCAAAUUUCUUCCCCAUUCUGAUGUUUGGUCUGAACAACAACUGAACCUCUUGACCACGUUGGCAUGCUCUUAUGCAAUGAGGUUCUGCCACAUUAUUGGCUGUUUAGAUACUUGCAUGAACUAGCAGGUGUACAGGUGUACCUAAUAAAGUUUCCACUGAGUGUGUGUUACCAGCGUUAAUUCAUUGUCAGUCAAUAAUUCAUGCAGCCUGAGGAUGAUCUCAUCUUCUCCAAAUGAUCAUUAACCAUAAGACAAUCUUUUCAAAUUUAUUGAAUGAUAGUUGCCAGGAACAAAAUUUAAUAUGUUUUUUUCCAGCCUGUUAAUACACUAAUAAACCUUUCCUACGUGUAAGUUCAAGCUGUUGUGUUGGAUAGUAUCCAUUUGAAUUUCAUUUGUACUUUUUGAACAAUGUUUGGAUAUGCAGUGAUGUUGUUGAGUCAUAAUAAGCUGACACAAAGACUGAUGAAUACGGCCUAUCAAUUUAGUGAAGAGAACAUUCAGAGCAAGUCCCCACUGAACCAUCAUGAAAGUGGCUUUCCUAUGUUCAGAACAAUAAUCUACUUAAUAUCAUGGAAGUAGUCGGACUUCUACCAUUUCCUGAAACAUGUAUUCCCAGCAGGAAAGAUGCUACAAUUUAUACAGCUACCAGGUUCUAAAAGGAUGAUGUCAGCUUUAGUAAUGCAAGAGGCCUUUGAUACAUUGCCCGAAGUCAAUUUAAAUCAUUGGUUGGUAAUAUCCUUGCCCAUGAGACUCAGUUAGAAAAGCCUGUUACAUCUAUGUAAGCUGAAUGACCCUUUCAAAAACAUCAAAUCCAGUGAAAGUUCAUUGCUAACCAGGGAUUUCUUGCUGUGAAGAAGGGCACCACUAAUUGGUAAUGUUCGAGAGAUAACACUCUUAUGGAGGCCAUAAAGCUCUGACCUCAAGUAAUGAGACUGAAUGCAUCAGUCAUUGAGAUCCAUAAGCCAUCUGCUCCCUACAAAAGAUAUUAAAUAAUUAAAUGUAGACACUAAAAUUGCACGUAGCAAAUACAGUAAAUAGCAAAAGCUUGCACUCGCACCCUGUAACUGUAGGAUCUGUCACUGUGUUUUCUGAGCUGUGCAGUUGUUGUUAUGAUGAUGGAAACAUGGCAGCCAGUUGUUACCAAACAGUGAUGGAGAAUUAGAGCAGAACAAUAUUGGUUGUCUCAACGGUUAAGACCAAUGAAAUGCUAUAAUAAUUUUGGGUGAAUUGCUUGGAAAGAAGGUGCACUGGCAACUUUGCUUUGGAGAGUUGGUUGGAGAAGUAAUGGCCAUUCGCUGACGCAGAUAUGCAAAAUGUAUAACUGCUGUAUCUUGAUUGGGUCUAACACAAAACAAUUUUUAAAAUGUUCUGUUUCUAAUAAAGGGCCAAAGUUAUAUGAUUCACCAUACCAAGAUAACAUAUUUGUUUCUAUAAAAUAUCUGUCUGAUCUAUGAGAGAACCAGAGAAAAUAUUUUGGGCGUGUUAAUGUAUAAUUUGAAAGUAAAAAGACAUAUAUUGUUCCACAUAGAAAAUACUUGGAUGAGAUGAAUAAAAAGUUGAAUGGAAACAUAUCUGAGUGUAAAGACCAUGAGGAAUAGGAACAAGAAUAGCCCUUCUGUCUGCUCCACCGUUUAGUAGGAGUGCGGCUGAUCCAAUAUUCCCCAAAGCCACUUUCCUGCCCUUCUUUAAAUAGAAGUGACAGACUGGCACCUGUUGCAGGGCAGGAGCCAUUUGGAAAGGACCAGUGUCAUCAUUCCUUGAACGAUCGGCAUCACUGUAGGGUAGGAACCAUUUGGAAAGGACAAGUCUCAAUGGGAGUGAGCUUUAUUUGAGCUCAUAAAAAAAGUGAGGUGUAGGCGGAGUUCCCACUGUGGGAGCAGACAUUGUUGGAGUGGGCCAGUGCUAGAGAGGUUAGCCUUUGGCUCAACAGCUUCAGC
Long non-coding RNA from Hypanus sabinus (Atlantic stingray), 11444 nucleotides. RefSeq lists it as uncharacterized. The transcript is spliced from 5 exons. The record is from RefSeq and is a predicted model, not a curated record. Lineage: Eukaryota; Metazoa; Chordata; Chondrichthyes; Myliobatiformes; Dasyatidae.